Molecule: ribosomal RNA, 555 nt
Filed under: Odontobatrachus ziama
Lineage: Eukaryota; Metazoa; Chordata; Amphibia; Anura; Odontobatrachidae
Description: partial 16S ribosomal RNA
Rfam family: Bacterial large subunit ribosomal RNA
Source: RNAcentral
CGCCUUUUGUUAAAGUAUAAAAGGUCCAGCCUGCCCAGUGACUAAGUUCAACGGCCAUGGUAUUAUGACCAUGCGAAGGUAGCAUAAUCACUUGUUCUUUAAAUAAGGACUAGUAUCAACGGCACCACGAGGGCUAGACUGUCUCCUUUCUCCAAUCAGUGAAACUGAUCUUCCCGUGAAGAAGCGGGAAUAAACUUAUAAGACGAGAAGACCCCAUGGAGCUUUAAAUUUACAAUUCACCUUUUAAUAUACCUACAACAUUAAACUAAUUAAGAACUGAAUUUAAUUUUAGGUUGGGGUGACCACGGAGUAUAACACAACCUCCAUGAUGAAAGGCCACUGCCUAAUUCAAGAGUAACCACUCUAAAAAUCAACCACUUGACAUUUUAUGAUCCAAUUAUUAUUGAUCAACGAACCAAGUUACCCUGGGGAUAACAGCGCAAUCCAUUUAGAGAGCUCCUAUCGACAAAUGGGAUUACGACCUCGAUGUUGGAUCAGGGUAUCCUAGUGGUGCAGCCGCUACUAAAGGUUCGUUUGUUCAACGAUUAAAACCCU